GCUCAUUAAUUGUGUACUUGCCAGGAGGACCUGUCUUUAAAUCAUUAAUGCAGGCAACAUUUCUCUCUGGAGCCAUCAAUGUGAUUGUACUGCCUGAAAAAUGUAAUAAUGAUGGAUUUUCUUAUCAUUUUUCUUUUAUUUUUUAUUGGAACUUCAGAGACACAGGUUGAUGUUUCUGAUGCUGUUCCUAAUACUAGGUAUGACACAACCAUCUCUUCUAUUUCUGUUACAACAUAUAGUUCACCUGUUAGUAGAACAGUGACAACAAAUGUUACGAAACCAGGUCCUCCAAUCUUUCUAGCCGGGGAGAGAGUUGGAUCUGCUGGGAUUCUUCUUUCUUGGAACACACCACCUAACCCGAAUGGAAGAAUUAUAUCUUACAUUGUUAAAUAUAAGGAGGUAUGCCCGUGGAUGCAAACCGUGUACACAGAAGUCAGGGCAAAGCCAGACAGUCUGGAAGUUCUUCUUACUAACCUUAAUCCUGGAACAACAUAUGAAAUUAAGGUUGCUGCUGAAAACAGUGCUGGAAUUGGAGUAUUUAGUGAUCCCUUUCUUUUCCAGACUGCAGAAAGUGCUCCAGGAAAAGUGGUCAAUCUCACAGUUGAGGCCUUCAACUACUCAGCAGUAAACUUGAUUUGGUAUUUACCUCGGCAACCAAAUGGCAGAAUUACCAGCUUCAAGAUUAGUGUCAAACAUGCCAGGAGUGGGACAGUAGUGAAAGACGUCUCUGUCAGAGUAGAAGACAUCUUGACUGGGAAACUCCCAGAAUGUAAUGAGAACAGUGACUCUUUUCUGUGGAGUACCUCCAGCCCUUCUCCAACCCUUGGUAGAGUCACGCCUCCAUCGCGUACCACAUAUACAUCGAGCUCGUUGACGAGGAGUAGGAUCAGCUCUGUGUGGAAAGAGCCUAUCAGUUUUGUAGUGACACAUUUGAGACCUUACACAACCUAUCUUUUUGAAGUUUCAGCUGUUACAACUGAAGCAGGUUAUAUUGAUAGUACCAUUGUCAGAACACCAGAAUCAGUGCCUGAAGGACCACCACAAAACUGUAUAGCGGGCAAUGUUACAGGAAAGUCCUUUUCAAUUUCUUGGGACCCACCAAGUAUAGUAACAGGGAAGUUUAGUUAUAGAGUUGAAUUAUAUGGGCCGUCAGGUCGUAUUUUGGAUAAUAGCACAAAAGACCUUAAAUUUUCAUUCACUAACUUAACACCAUAUACACUGUAUGAUGUCUAUGUUGCUGCUGAAACCAAUGCAGGGGUUGGACCCAAGUCAAAUCUUUCCAUAUUUACUCCUCCAGAUGUUCCAGGUGCAAUAUUUGAUUUACAACUAGCAGAUGUAGAAGCCACAGAAAUUAGAAUUACUUGGAGAAAACCACGACAACCAAAUGGAAUCAUUAACCAAUAUCGAGUGAAAGUGUUGGUUUCAGAAACUGGGGUAGUUUUGGAAAAUACCUUGCUUACAGGAAAAGACGAGUAUAUAAAUGAUCCCAUGUCUCCAGAAAUGAUGAAUAUUGUGGAGCCAAUGAUAGGAUUUUAUGAGGGCUCAGCAGAGAUGUCUUCUGAUCUGCACUCACUGGCUUCAUUUGUGUAUAACAAUGAUGUACAUAAUAACUUUCUUGUAAGGAGUAGAGCUGAAGACCAGCAUUCACCCAUAGUAACCACAAGGAAUCAGUAUAUCACUGACAUUGCUGCCGAACAGCUGUCUUACGUUAUCAGGCGACUUGCUCCUUUCACUGAGCACAUGAUUAGUGUAUCUGCUUUCACCAUCAUGGGAGAAGGACCACCAACGGUUCUCAAUGUUAGGACGCGUGAACAAGUGCCAAGCUCCAUUCAAACUAUAAACUAUAAAAAUAUUAGUUCUUCAUCUAUUUUGCUAUAUUGGGAUCCUCCUGAAUAUCCCAAUGGAAAAAUAACCCAUUAUACCAUUUAUGCAAUGGAACUGGAUACAAACAGAGCAUUCCAGAUGACUACUAUAGAUAACAGCUUUCUCAUAACAGGGCUAAAGAAAUACACAAAAUACAAAAUGAGAGUGGCUGCCUCUACUCAUGUUGGAGAAAGCUCUUUGUCUGAAGAAAAUGAGAUCUUUGUGAGAACUCCCGAAGAUGAGCCAGAAUCGUCACCCCAAGAUGUUGAAGUAAUAGAUGUAUCUGCAAGUGAAAUAAGGUUAAAGUGGUCACCACCUGAAAAACCUAAUGGGAUUAUUGUUGCUUAUGAAGUGCUCUAUAAAAAUAUGGAUACUUUGCUUAUAAAGAACACCUCAACAACAAGUAUAACUUUAAGGGACUUAAAACCUUACACUCUCUAUAACAUUUCUGUCAGGUCGUAUACCAAAUUUGGUCAUGGCAAUCAGUCAUCUGCAUUACUAUCUGUAAGAACUUCUGAGACUGUGCCCAGUAGUGCACCAGAAAAUAUUACUUACAAAAAUAUUUCUUCUGGAGAAAUUGAGAUAUCAUUCCUUCCCCCACAUAGUCCCAAUGGAAUUAUACAAAAAUAUACAAUUUAUCUCAAGAGGAGUAAUGGAAAUGAGGAAAAAAGUAUAAAUACAACCUCUUUGACCCAGAACAUUAAAGGACUGAAAAAAUAUACCCAAUAUGUAAUUGAGAUGUCUGCUAGUACACUCAAAGGUGAAGGAGUUCGGAGUGCACCCAUAGGCAUAUUGACUGAGGAAGAUGCUCCUGAUUCUCCCCCUCAAGAUUUCUCUGUAAAACAGUUGUCUGGUGUCACAGUGAAGUUGUCAUGGAAACCACCUCUGGAGCCAAAUGGUAUUAUCCUCUAUUACACAGUUUAUGUCUGGGAUAUAUCAUCAUUAAAAACCAUUAAUGUAACUGGAACGUCAUUAGAGUUUUCAGAUUUGGACUAUAAUGUUGAAUAUAGUGCCUAUGUAACAGCUAGCACUAGAUUUGGUGAUGGAAAAACAAGAAGCAAUAUCAUUAACUUUCGAACACCAGAGGGAGCACCCAGUGAUCCUCCCAGAGAUGUUCAUUAUGUAAAUCUCAGUUCUUCAUCAAUAAUUCUCUUUUGGACACCUCCUUCAAAGCCUAAUGGGAUUAUACAAUAUUAUUCUGUUUAUUAUAGAAAUACUUCAGGUACUUUUAUUCAGAAUUUUACACUCUAUGAAGUAACCAAUGAGUUUGACAAUAUGACCGUUUCUGCAAUAAUAGAUAAACUGGCAAUAUUCAGCUACUAUACAUUUUGGUUAACAGCAAGUACUUCAGUUGGAAAUGGGAAUAAAAGCAGUGACAUAAUUCAAGUAUACACAGAUCAAGACAUACCUGAAGGGCUUGUUGGAAACCUGACUUACCAGUCUAUCUCAUCAACUGCGAUAAAUGUAAGCUGGGUCCCACCGUCUCACCCAAAUGGUCUAGUCUUCUACUAUGUUUCACUGAAUAUACAGCAGACUCCUCGCCAUGGGAAACCACCUCUAGUUACAUAUGACAGCAGCAUAUAUUUUGAUAAUCUGGAAAAAUACACUGAUUAUAUAUUAGAAAUCACUCCAUCAACAGAAAAGGGAUUCUCUGAUAUCUAUACUGCCCAGCUACUCAUCAAAACUGAAGAAGAUGUCCCAGAAACUUCACCAAUAAUCAACACUUUUAAAAACCUUUCCUCUACCUCAGUUCUCCUAUCAUGGGAUCCCCCAGUAAAGCCAAAUGGUGCAAUAAUAAGUUAUGACUUAAUUUUACAAGGACCAAAUGAAAAUUAUUUUUUUAUUACUUCUGAUAACUAUAUAAUAUUGGAAGAGCUUUCACCAUUUACGUUAUAUAGUUUUUUUGCUGCUGCAAGAACUGUUAAAGGACUCGGUCCCCCGAGUAUUCUUUUCUUUUACACAGAUGAGUCAGUGCCUUUAGCACCUCCUCAAAAUUUGACUUUAAUCAACUACACUUCAGACUUUGUAUGGCUGAAAUGGAGCCCCAGUCCUCUUCCAGGCGGUAUUGUUAAAAUAUACAGUCUUAAAAUUCAUGAACAUGAAAGUGAUACUAUAUCUUAUAAGAAUAUUUCAGGUUUUCAAACUGAAGCGAAACUUGGUGGACUGGAACCAGUUAGCACUUAUUCUGUCAGUGUAUCUGCAUUUACGAAAGUUGGAAAUGGCAAUCAAUUUAGUAAUGUCGUAAACUUCACAACCCAAGAAUCAGUUCCAGAUGUUGUACAGAAUCUGCAGUGUAUGGCAAGCAACUGGCAGUCAGUUUUAGUGACAUGGGAUCCUCCCAAGAAAGCAAAUGGAAUAAUUACGCAUUAUAUAAUAAUGGCGGAAAGGAAUUCUGCAAAAGCUUCUCCCCAAAAUCACACAUACACUUUUGUAAAGCUUCUUGCAAACACCUCAUACGUCUUCAAAAUAAGAGCUGCGACAUCGGCUGGGGAAGGCAGUGAGAGCACCUGUAGUGUGAGCACACCACCUGAAACAGUUCCCAGUGCUCCCACAAACAUUGCUUUUUCUGAUGUUCAGUCAACUAGUGCAACACUGACAUGGAUAAGACCUGAUUCUAUCCUUGGUUACUUCCAAAAUUACAAGAUAACCACUCAACUCCGUGCUCAAGAAUGCAGAGAAUGGCAAUCUGAAGAAUGUGUUGAGUAUCAAAAAGUUCAGUACCUUUAUGAAGCUGACUUAACUGAAGAGACAGUGUAUGGAUUAAAGAAAUUUAGAUGGUAUAGAUUCCAAGUGUCUGCUAGCACCAAUGCUGGCUAUGGCAAUGCUUCCAACUGGAUUUCCACACAAACCCUGUCUGGCCCUCCAGAUGGUCCUCCUGAAAAUGUGCAUGUUGUAGCGACAUCACCUUUCAGCAUCAACAUCAGUUGGAGUGAACCUGCUGUCAUCACUGGACCAACAUUCUACCUGAUUGACGUCAAAUCAGUAGAUCGUGAUGAAUUCAAUAUUUCCUUUGUCAAGUCAAAUGAAGAAAAGAAAACCAUGGAAAUUAAAGACUUAAAAAUAUUUACCAGAUAUUCUGUGGUGAUCACUGCAUUUACUGGAAAUAUAAGUGCUGCAUAUGUAGAAGGGAAGUCAAGCCCUGAAGUCAUUGUGACUACUUUAGAAUCAGCACCCAAGGAUCCACCCAACAACAUGACAUUUCAGAAGAUACCAGAUGAAGUUACAAAAUUUCAGUUAACAUUCCUUCCUCCUUCUCAACCUAAUGGAAAUAUCCAAGUAUACCAAGCUUUGGUUUACCGAGAAGACGAUCCCACAGCUGUUCAGAUUCAUAACCUCAGUAUCAUCCAGAAAACAGACACAUCUGUCAUUGCAAUGUUAGAAGGACUAAAAGGUGGACAUACAUACAAUAUCAGUGUUUAUGCAAUCAAUAGUGCUGGUGCAGGGCCUAAAGUUCAGAUGAGGAUAACCAUGGAUAUCAAAGCUCCAGCAAGACCAAAAACCAAGCCAACCCCUAUUUAUGAUGCCACAGGAAAACUGCUUGUGACUUCAACAACAAUUACAAUCAGAAUGCCAAUAUGUUAUUACAAUGAUGAUCACGGACCAAUCAAAAGUGUACAAGUGCUUGUGGCAGAAACAGGAGCUCAGCAUGAUGGAAAUGUAACAAAGUGGUAUGAUGCAUAUUUUAAUAAAGCAAGGACAUAUUUUACAAAUGAAGGCUUCCCUAACCCUCCAUGUAUAGAAGGAAAGACAAAGUUCAGUGGCAAUGAAGAAAUCUAUGUCAUAGGUGCUGAUAAUGCAUGUAUGAUUCCUGGCAAUGAAGACAAAAUUUGCAAUGGACCUCUGAAACCAAAAAAGCAGUAUUUGUAAAUUUAAAUUUAGAGCCACAAAUGUCAUGGGACAAUUUACUGACUCUGAUUACUCUGACCCUGUUAAGACUUUAGGUGAAGGACUCUCAGAAAGAACUGUAGAGGUCAUUCUUUCAGUAACAUUGUGUAUCCUUUCAAUAAUUCUUCUUGGAACAGCCAUAUUUGCAUUUGCAAGAAUUCGACAGAAGCAGAAAGAAGGUGGCACAUACUCUCCUCGGGAUGCAGAAAUUAUUGACACUAAAUUCAAACUGGAUCAGCUCAUCACAGUGGAAGACCUGGAGCUGAAGGACGAGAGAUUAACGCGGUUACUUAGUUAUAGAAAAUCUAUCAAGCCAAUAAGCAAGAAAUCCUUUCUGCAACAUGUUGAAGAGCUUUGCACAAACAACAACCUAAAGUUUCAAGAAGAAUUUUCGGAAUUACCAAAGUUUCUUCAGGAUCUCUCUUCAACUGAUGCAGAUCUCCCUUGGAAUAGAGCAAAAAAUCGCUUUCCAAAUAUAAAACCAUAUAAUAACAACAGAGUGAAGCUGGUAGCUGAUGCUAGUAUUCCAGGAUCGGAUUACAUUAAUGCCAGCUAUGUUUCUGGCUACUUGUGUCCAAAUGAGUUUAUUGCUACUCAAGGUCCAUUGCCAGGAACAGUUGGAGAUUUUUGGAGAAUGGUGUGGGAAACAAGAGCAAAAACAUUAGUAAUGCUAACACAGUGUUUUGAAAAAGGGCGGAUAAGAUGCCAUCAGUAUUGGCCAGAGGACAAUAAACCUGUUACUGUUUUUGGAGAUAUAGUUAUUACAAAGCUUAUGGAGGAUGUUCAGAUAAAUUGGACCAUCAGGGAUCUGAAAAUUGAAAGGCAUGGAGAUUACAUGACAGUUCGACAGUGUAAUUUUACUGGUUGGCCUGAACAUGGAGUUCCUGAAAACAGCACCCCUCUAAUUCACUUUGUAAAGUUGGUUCGAGCAAGCAGAGCACAUGACACCACACCUAUGAUUGUUCACUGCAGUGCUGGGGUUGGUAGAACUGGAGUUUUUAUUGCUCUGGACCACUUGACACAACAUAUAAAUGACCAUGACUUUGUGGAUAUAUAUGGACUAGUAGCUGAAUUGAGAAGUGAAAGAAUGUGUAUGGUGCAGAAUCUGGCACAGUAUAUCUUCUUACACCAGUGCAUUCUGGAUCUUUUAUCAAAUAAAGGAAGCAAUCAACCUAUCUGUUUUGUUAACUAUUCUGCACUUCAGAAAAUGGAUUCUUUGGAUGCCAUGGAAGGUGAUGUUGAGCUUGAAUGGGAAGAAACCACCAUGUAAAUAUUCAGAUCAACAAUUACAACAAGAAGAUAUUUUUCAAUCCCAGGGGCCAAAACUACCCCCUCGUGCUUCUGAAUUGAAAUAUGCAAUCCUAAAGAAAUCUUUAUGCUUCCCUUACUGCCUUACUCCCUGAAUUGACCAUUUUACAGACAGUUCUAGGAAACUGCUAAAUCAGCAUAGUCACUUGUUUUGUACAGAAUAAAUAUUGUUCAUUUAAAAUGUUUAAGAGAAGAUAUCCCAUAGGGUUUUGAAGUUCUCCAUAUUUGGAACAAACCAAAUGUUAAAUUAUUAUUAUACUAGCAUUAAUGGUUCGUGUGAAUCUUCCCUGUGUAUCGGUUAUAAUUUUGAACAAAAGCCGUAAAUGUUGAUUCAGUAGUGUUAUUUUGGCCUCUAGGGUGUUGUCGUUUCUUGUGGAUGACUUCCAGAACUGUCAUAAUGAUCUGUACUUCUAUGUAUGCCUCUGUGUUUUGAAUCCUCUGUUUUAUGAGUGCUGAGAUAUCAUCUCCUGAUCCUGAACAGCUGAACACUAACCCCCUGACACUGCAGGGAUUACAUAGCCUUUAUACAACACACAGUAGCUCUUUGGAGGAACUUAGGGCUAUUUAAAUUGCAUUGUGAACUUCAGUUUGAAAAAAUGAAAGGAAAAAAAAAGUGCAAUUGCACAUAACGAAGUUAUAAAGUACCUUUCUAGCCUGCCCACAUUUGUCUGAUGUCAGGCACAAGUUGUAGCACUGUAUUGUAUAUUUAAAUACAAAAAGGUAUCAGAGUAUUUGCACAUUAUAUUUAUAUUCAACUUAUUAACAAUUUUAAAAUGUUUCUUCAGCAGAAAUGUAUAAAAAUAAUAAUAAAAUCAUGUAGUGUGGUACAAGCUUGUGAACUUAUGAUGUACUGCUGCGGUGCCAACAGACUUCUGAAGAGAUUAUUUUAACUGGUCUUUAUUUUAUUUCCCAAGGGUGAUUAUGGAAGAGUGUGUUUAGGGGAACUGAAAACAAAGAAAUUAACCAGGUUGGAGCAAAGUAGAGAUUUUUAAAAAAAAUUUCAGCCUCUGUUUUAUUAGAUACUGAUAUUGUACUAAAUAAAUUGAGCUAUGUGAAAUUAUUUUGUCAUAGAUUUCAAUUAAUGUCAUAAGUAAAUAGUAUUAACUACUUUAUUUCUUCUAUAAUAAAUAUGCUUAUUUCUACUGUUCCAAUCAUAUAGAAAGUGUAAUGGUCAAAAAACCCUGAAUUUUAAUUAA
This is a non-coding RNA of Marmota flaviventris (yellow-bellied marmot), 8252 nucleotides long. The record is from RefSeq and is a predicted model, not a curated record. Lineage: Eukaryota; Metazoa; Chordata; Mammalia; Rodentia; Sciuridae.